This is a long non-coding RNA of Saccostrea cuccullata (small rock oyster), 786 nucleotides long. RefSeq lists it as uncharacterized. Lineage: Eukaryota; Metazoa; Mollusca; Bivalvia; Ostreida; Ostreidae. The transcript is spliced from 6 exons. The record is from RefSeq and is a predicted model, not a curated record.
GUUGGACUGGCCUGGUUGCGUGGAAGAAGAGCAGACCGUCACCAGUAGGCAGCAGUUCUGUGAUGCACUGCGGUCAAUCCCUGACGUGCAGCAGAGGAGGAGGUGUAUGCUGACCCGGGAGGAUCCCAACAGCAGGCAAGAAGGGAAGAGGAGGAUGCGCAGCAAGCAGCAGAGCCCAGCCCAGCCCAGGAUCCAGCGCAGCCCACACCAGCCAGCCCAUCCCACCAGAGGAUCCAAUGCCGUUACCAGGCAGCCUAACAGAGAAGCAUUUUGAAUUUAUUUCUUUCCUUCUGUCUCUUCUCUGUCUUCUGUGCACUUCCCUAAUCUAACAGCACUAACCAUCCCCUACCCCUUAACAUCGAUUUUGUUGUAAUUUCCUUGAAUUUGUGUGCUUUGUUUCAUUGUUUUGAAUUUUUACUAAUCUCGUCUCAGUUGUAUAUUUUCAGGCACUCGGACGUGGUACAACGCGGGAGCACCCAGCCAGCCUCCAGCCACCCAGCCAGCCACAGAUGAAGAGGAAGGAGCCCAUUGCCCAGCUUUGUCUAGCGGCUUACAUUUGCCAAGGCGGAGCGUCGAUCCCACCGAGACAUUCAGCAGCAUUCUGGGUAGCAAGGAUCGACUGCGACCGCACAUGGAAGAGAGGAUAUGCGGUGUGAUGCAGCCCUCUGUUCCCAGUCCUUUGAAGAGGAGUCUGCCAACCCAGGGACGGUCAGGGUUAGGCUGUUGUGGAUUCCCAGAUGAUUAGUAGACUGCGGCCUGCCAGAGGAAGUGCGCAGAGUUCAGGGA